AUUGAACGCUGGCGGCAGGCUUAACACAUGCAAGUCGAGCGGAGCGAGGGUGCUUGCACCUUAGCUUAGCGGCGGACGGGUGAGUAAUGCUUAGGAAUCUGCCUGUUAGUGGGGGACAACAUUCCGAAAGGAAUGCUAAUACCGCAUACGCCCUACGGGGGAAAGCAGGGGAUCUUCGGACCUUGCGCUAAUAGAUGAGCCUAAGUCGGAUUAGCUAGUUGGUGGGGUAAAGGCCUACCAAGGCGACGAUCUGUAGCGGGUCUGAGAGGAUGAUCCGCCACACUGGGACUGAGACACGGCCCAGACUCCUACGGGAGGCAGCAGUGGGGAAUAUUGGACAAUGGGCGGAAGCCUGAUCCAGCCAUGCCGCGUGUUUGAAGAAGGCCUUUUGGUUGUAAAGCACUUUAAGCGAGGAGGAGGCUACUUAGAUUAAUACUCUGGGAUAGUGGACGUUACUCGCAGAAUAAGCACCGGCUAACUCUGUGCCAGCAGCCGCGGUAC
RNAcentral lists this ribosomal RNA (501 nucleotides) under uncultured bacterium. RNAcentral's name for it is "partial 16S ribosomal RNA". It matches the Rfam family "Bacterial small subunit ribosomal RNA", at positions 30 to 523 of the family's 1533-position model. The record is from RNAcentral.